GACGAACGCUGGCGGCGUGCUUAACACAUGCAAGUCGAACGGAAAGGCCUUUUCGGAGGUACUCGAGUGGCGAACGGGUGAGUAACACGUGGGUGAUCUGCCCUGCACUCUGGGAUAAGCCUGGGAAACUGGGUCUAAUACCGGAUAGGACCGCACUUUAGUGUGUGUGGUGGAAAGUUUUUUCGAUGUAGGAUGAGCCCGCGGCCUAUCAGCUUGUUGGUGGGGUAAUGGCCUACCAAGGCGGCGACGGGUAGCCGGACUGAGAGGUUGGUCGGCCACAUUGGGACUGAGAGAUGGCCCAGACUCCUACGGGAGGCAGCAGUGGGGAAUAUUGCACAAUGGGCGCAAGCCUGAUGCAGCGACGCCGCGUGGGGGAGGACGGCCUUCGGGUUGUAAACUCCUUUCGCCAGGGACGAAGCGUUUUGUGACGGUACCUGGAGAAGAAGCACCGGCUAACUACGUG
Molecule: ribosomal RNA, 463 nt
Filed under: uncultured bacterium
Lineage: Bacteria
Description: partial 16S ribosomal RNA
Rfam family: Bacterial small subunit ribosomal RNA
Source: RNAcentral